Molecule: ribosomal RNA, 497 nt
Filed under: uncultured bacterium
Lineage: Bacteria
Description: partial 16S ribosomal RNA
Rfam family: Bacterial small subunit ribosomal RNA
Source: RNAcentral
GAUGAACGCUGGCGGCGUGCCUAAUACAUGCAAGUCGAGCGAACAGACGAGGAGCUUGCUCCUCUGACGUUAGCGGCGGACGGGUGAGUAACACGUGGAUAACCUACCUAUAAGACUGGGAUAACUUCGGGAAACCGGAGCUAAUACCGGAUAAUAUAUUGAACGGCAUGGUUCAAUAGUGAAAGACGGUUUUGCUGUCACUUAUAGCUGGAUCCGCGCCGAAUUAGCUAGUUGGUAAGGUAACGGCUUACCAAGGCAACGAUGCGUAGCCGACCUGAGAGGGUGAUCGGCCACACUGGAACUGAGACACGGUCCAGACUCCUACGGGAGGCAGCAGUAGGGAAUCUUCCGCAAUGGGCGCAAGCCUGACGGAGCAACGCCGCGUGAGUGAUGAAGGUCUUCGGAUCGUAAAACUCUGUUAUUAGGGAAGAACAAAUGUGUAAGUAACUAUGCACGUCUUGACGGUACCUAAUCAGAAAGCCACGGCUAACUACGUG